AGUCGGGAAUUUUGGGCAAUGGGGGAAACCCUGACCCAGCAACGCCGCGUGAAGGAUGAAGUAUUUCGGUAUGUAAACUUCGAAAGAAUGGGAAGAAUAAAUGACGGUACCAUUUAUAAGCUCCGGCUAACUACGUGCCAGCAGCCGCGGUAAUACGUAGGGAGCAAGCGUUGUUCGGAUUUACUGGGCGUAAAGGGCGCGUAGGCGGCGCGGUAAGUCACUUGUGAAAUCUCUGAGCUUAACUCAGAACGGCCAAGUGAUACUGCAGUGCUAGAGUGCAGAAAGGGCAAUCGGAAUUCUUGGUGUAGCGGUGAAAUGCGUAGAUAUCAAGAGGAACACCUGAGGCGAAGGCGGGUUGCUAGGCUGACACUGACGCUGAGUGCGCGAAAGCCAGGGGAGCAAA
This 403-nucleotide ribosomal RNA is filed under the name uncultured bacterium. RNAcentral describes it as "bacterial SSU rRNA". It matches the Rfam family "Bacterial small subunit ribosomal RNA", at positions 353 to 772 of the family's 1533-position model. The record is from RNAcentral.